AUGGCCAUGAGCUUGACCAUAAGAGACGGGCAGCUCUCGCUGAGAUGUUGUAAGCCGUCGGUGGCCACGGUGGCCCUCAGAUUUGCCGGCAGGGCGAGAAAAUUGAAGCACGCCUUCUUCAGCCCCUCACAGUGGUGCCGCUCGGCCAGCAUGAGGAUGGUCGCCCCUCUGCCAACAUCGAUGUACUUGCACAGCUUCUCCUCGCAGAUCAGCUUCAGCCGCUCCAUGCCGUAUCUGUCCGCCGCGACGAGCAGAUGCUGGCAGGUGACAUCCUCCUCUUCCUUGCGCAUGUCUGGCAAGGAGCCAGUAUACGCGUAA
This 318-nucleotide ribosomal RNA is filed under the name Triticum aestivum (bread wheat). RNAcentral's name for it is "partial small subunit ribosomal RNA". The record is from RNAcentral. Lineage: Eukaryota; Viridiplantae; Streptophyta; Magnoliopsida; Poales; Poaceae.